This 490-nucleotide ribosomal RNA is filed under the name uncultured bacterium. RNAcentral's name for it is "partial 16S ribosomal RNA". It matches the Rfam family "Bacterial small subunit ribosomal RNA", at positions 30 to 507 of the family's 1533-position model. The record is from RNAcentral.
AUUGAACGCUGGCGGCAGGCCUAACACAUGCAAGUCGAACGGUAACAGGAAGCAGCUUGCUGCUUCGCUGACGAGUGGCGGACGGGUGAGUCAUGUCUGGGAAGCUGCCUGAUGGAGGGGGAUAACUACUGGAAACGGUAGCUACUACCGCAUAAUGUCGCAAGACCAAAGAGGGGGACCUUCGGGCCUCUUGCCAUCGGAUGUGCCCAGAUGGGAUUAGCUUGUUGGUGGGGUAACGGCUCACCAAGGCGACGAUCCCUAGCUGGUCUGAGAGGAUGACCAGCCACACUGGAACUGAGACACGGUCCAGACUCCUACGGGAGGCAGCAGUGGGGAAUAUUGCACAAUGGGCGCAAGCCUGAUGCAGCCAUGCCGCGUGUAUGAAGAAGGCCUUCGGGUUGUAAAGUACUUUCAGCGGGGAGGAAGGGAGUAAAGUUAAUACCUUUGCUCAUUGACGUUACCCGCAGAAGAAGCACCGGCUAACUCCGUG